RNAcentral lists this non-coding RNA (22 nucleotides) under Rattus norvegicus (Norway rat). Lineage: Eukaryota; Metazoa; Chordata; Mammalia; Rodentia; Muridae. The record is from RNAcentral.
AUCUUCUCAUAGGGAAGCUGGG